UUUUUUUUCUCACUUAAAAUUCUUUAAUAAUAUUUCAGUUAAGUUACUACUACAAGUAGUUUGAAUUGUUUUUUACAGAGGCCAGCACCUACUUGUGCAGUAAGAAAGCAUUAGUGCACACUCUCAGUAAGUCCCUUCAGUUGGGACAGAACAUGAGGAAGGGGGAAUGGAAGAAAAAAUUAUUUUAACCACUGAAAACAAAUGUCUCUUUGACCUAUAAUGGGACACCGGAUUGGCACUUGAUGUGUCUAGUCUAAUUUUUUCUCUGUGAAACUGUACUGGCAGAUCUUAGGGAGAGACAGAAGGCAGUAAAUUCCUAUCCUCCAUCAAUACAUUUGACCUCAGAACAAACCCCACAACUGGCUACAGGCACCCACCAUCCAUCAUUGCUCUUGAAACCUGAUCUUUCAGGGAAGGACAGCUGCACUGGGCAAAGAGCUAAGGAGCUUUCUAAGAUGCACUACCAUUGAAGAAAAAAAAAAAAAAGGCAAUUCUUUUGGUUCAGUGUUGUAAUUAAACGCUUUUCUAAACAUUUCUUCCCCCAGACUACAGCUCCACGUCAAAUAUCAUUAAGACUCCAUUAAUAUAUUUUUUAUUUUCAAGUAAAAUGCUCUCUUUGCAUAUUUUAGGUAAAAUCAUUGCUAGUUUUUGCUUUAAAUGCUUUCUGUCCCAUGACAUACUGAUGUAUACAGAUUUCAAUAAACAUGCUGAAAAGAAUUAUUGAAAAGAAACUGUAGUUCCAGCAUCUGUAGUAAUCACAGCAUUGCACAAGAGAGUGCAAAUUGAAUAACAGACACAAAACAUCCAUGUCCAACACACCUAAUUUUUAGGUCAGUUAGCAAUAAUUUAUAGCAGAUAGCUAAAAAUAGCAGAAUCCUAUCACAGAAACUAGUAUUAAUGAAUAUAACAUGUUUCUUACAUAACUCUUAUAACCAGGAUUUAUUUUAAAUGAAAAAUAAGACAAAUUCUUCUUAUCUAAUCGGGACUUCAUUACAUCUAUGGCUAUUUUCUCCACUUUGCAGAUCGUGAAACUGAGACACUGAAAUGUUACGUAACUUCCCCCAAGAUUCCACAGGUAGUAAGUGACAAGACGAAUGUAUAAAUUCUGUUCUUCUUGCAUCAAAUU
RNAcentral lists this long non-coding RNA (1126 nucleotides) under Canis lupus familiaris (dog). RNAcentral's name for it is "lncRNA (ENSCAFG00845027964.1)". Lineage: Eukaryota; Metazoa; Chordata; Mammalia; Carnivora; Canidae. The record is from RNAcentral.